Molecule: ribosomal RNA, 433 nt
Filed under: uncultured bacterium
Lineage: Bacteria
Description: partial 16S ribosomal RNA
Rfam family: Bacterial small subunit ribosomal RNA
Source: RNAcentral
AACGAACGCUGGCGGCAUGCCUAACACAUGCAAGUCGAACGAGACCUUCGGGUCUAGUGGCGCACGGGUGGGUAAAGGGUGGGAACAUGCCCUUAGGUUCGGAAUAACUCGCGGAAAGGGGUGCGAAUACCGGAUAAUGUAUUGGGAACAAAGAUUUAUCGCCUUUGGAUGGGCCCGCGUUGGAUUAGCUAGAUAGUAGGGUAAAAGCCUACCAAGGCGACGAUCCAUAGCUGGUCUGAGAGGAUGAUCAGCCACACUGGGACUGAGACACGGCCCAGACUCCUACGGGAGGCAGCAGUGGGUAAUAUUGGACAAUGGGCGAAAGCCUGAUCCAGCAAUGCCGCGUGAGUGAUGAAGGCCUUAGGGUUGUAAAGCUCUUUUACCCGUGAUGAUAAUGACAGUACCGGGAGAAUAAGCUCCGGCUAACUCCGUG